CUCCUAUUGGAGGCAGCAGUGGGGAAUCUUCCGCAAUGGGCGAAAGCCUGACGGAGCAAUGCCGCGUGAGUGAUGAAGGAAUUCGUUCCGUAAAGCUCUUUUGUUUAUGACGAAUGUGCAGAUUGUGAAUAAUGAUCUGUAAUGACGGUAGUAAACGAAUAAGCCACGGCUAACUACGUGCCAGCAGCCGCGGUAAUACGUAGGUGGCGAGCGUUGUCCGGAAUUAUUGGGCGUAAAGAGCAUGUAGGCGGUUUUUUAAGUCUGGAGUGUUAAUGCGGGGCUCAACCCCGUAUGGCUCUGGAUACUGGAAGACUUGAGUGCAGGAGAGGAAAGGGGAAUUCCCAGUGUAGCGGUGAAAUGCGUAGAUAUUGGGAGGAACACCAGUGGCGAAGGCGCCUUUCUGGACUGUGUCUGACGCUGAGAUGCGAAAGCCAGGGUAGCGAACGGGAUUAGAUACCCCGGUAGUCCUGGCCGUAAACGAUGGGUACUAGGUGUAGGAGGUAUCGACCCCUUCUGUGCCGGAGUUAACGCAAUAAGUACCCCGCCUGGGGAGUACGUCCGCAAGGAUGAAACUCAAAGGAAUUGACGGAGGCCCGCACAAGCGGUGGAGUAUGUGGUUUAAUUCGACGCAACGCGAAGAACCUUACCAAGGCUUGACAUUGAAUGACCGCUCCAGAGAUGGAGCUUUCCCUUCGGGGACAUGAAAACAGGUGGUGCAUGGCUGCCGUCAGCUCGUGUCGUGAGAUGUUGGGUUAAGUCCCGCAACGAGCGCAACCCCUAUCCUAUGUUACCAGCGGGUAAUGCCGGGGACUCAUAGGAGACUGCCAAGGACAACUUGGAGGAAGGCGGGGAUGACGUCAAGUCAUCAUGCCCCUUAUGUCUUGGGCUACACACGUACUACAAUGGUCGGCAACAGAGGGAAGCAAAGCCGUGAGGCAGAGCAAACCCCAGAAACCCGAUCCCAGUUCGGAUUGCAGGCUGCAACUCGCCUGCAUGAAGUCGGAAUCGCUAGUAAUCGCAGGUCAGCAUACUGCGGUGAAUACGUUCCCGGGCCUUGUA
RNAcentral lists this ribosomal RNA (1059 nucleotides) under uncultured bacterium. RNAcentral describes it as "bacterial SSU rRNA". It matches the Rfam family "Bacterial small subunit ribosomal RNA", at positions 336 to 1385 of the family's 1533-position model. The record is from RNAcentral.